GCUUUUGUGAGAUAGUUUGUCCUGGCUCAGGGAGUUUGGUCACUUCCUUUUAGAAGGUCAGCGGCGGACGGGUGAGUAACACGUGGGCAACCUGCCUGUAAGACUGGGAUAACUUCGGGAAACCGGAGCUAAUACCGGAUAAUAUAAGGAACCUCCUGGUUCUUUAUUGAAAGAUGGUUUCGGCUAUCACUUACAGAUGGGUCCGCGGCGCAUUAGCUAGUUGGUGAGGUAACGGCUUACCAAGGCGACGAUGCGUAGCCGACCUGAGAGGGUGAUCGGCCACACUGGGACUGAGACACGGCCCAGACUCCUACGGGAGGCAGCAGUAGGGAAUCUUCCACAAUGGACGAAAGUCUGAUGGAGCAACGCCGCGUGAGCGAUGAAGGCCUUCGGGUCGUAAAGCUCUGUUGUUAGGGAAGAACAAGUGCGAGAGUAACUGCUCGCACCUUGACGGUACCUAACCAGAAAGCCACGGCUAACUACGUGCCAGCAGCCGCGGUAAUACGUAGGUGGCAAGCGUUGUCCGGAAUUAUUGGGCGUAAAGCGCGCGCAGGUGGUCCUUUAAGUCUGAUGUGAAAGCCCACGGCUCAACCGUGGAGGGUCAUUGGAAACUGGGGGACUUGAGUGCAGAAGAGGAAAGUGGAAUUCCAAGUGUAGCGGUGAAAUGCGUAGAGAUUUGGAGGAACACCAGUGGCGAAGGCGACUUUCUGGUCUGUAACUGACACUGAGGCGCGAAAGCGUGGGGAGCAAACAGGAUUAGAUACCCUGGUAGUCCACGCCGUAAACGAUGAGUGCUAAGUGUUAGAGGGUUUCCGCCCUUUAGUGCUGCAGCUAACGCAUUAAGCACUCCGCCUGGGGAGUACGGUCGCAAGACUGAAACUCAAAGGAAUUGACGGGGGCCCGCACAAGCGGUGGAGCAUGUGGUUUAAAACGAAGAAACGAGAAAGAACCUUACCAGGUCUUGACAUCCUCUGACACUCCUAGAGAUAGGACGUUCCCCUUCGGGGGACAGAGUGACAGGUGGUGCAUGGUUGUCGUCAGCUCGUGUCGUGAGAUGUUGGGUUAAGUCCCGCAACGAGCGCAACCCUUGAUCUUAGUUGCCAGCAUUCAGUUGGGCACUCUAAGGUGACUGCCGGUGACAAACCGGAGGAAGGUGGGGAUGACGUCAAAUCAUCAUGCCCCUUAUGACCUGGGCUACACACGUGCUACAAUGGACGGUACAAAGGGCAGCAAAACCGCGAGGUCGAGCCAAUCCCAUAAAACCGUUCUCAGUUCGGAUUGCAGGCUGCAACUCGCCUGCAUGAAGCCGGAAUCGCUAGUAAUCGCGGAUCAGCAUGCCGCGGUGAAUACGUUCCCGGGCCUUGUACACACCGCCCGUCACACCACGAGAGUUUGUAACACCCGAAGUCGGUGGGGUAACCUUUUGGAGCCAGCCGCCUAAGGUGGGACAGAUGCGGGGGGAAGUCUAUAGAGAGCGAGUAC
Molecule: ribosomal RNA, 1482 nt
Filed under: Sutcliffiella horikoshii
Lineage: Bacteria; Bacillati; Bacillota; Bacilli; Caryophanales; Bacillaceae
Description: bacterial SSU rRNA
Rfam family: Bacterial small subunit ribosomal RNA
Source: RNAcentral